This 1153-nucleotide long non-coding RNA is filed under the name Capra hircus (goat). RNAcentral describes it as "lncRNA (ENSCHIG00010017382.1)". Lineage: Eukaryota; Metazoa; Chordata; Mammalia; Artiodactyla; Bovidae. The record is from RNAcentral.
CCAUAAUUUCUUGAUAAACUGUGUUUUUUUUUUUUUUUUUUUAAAGGAAGAAAAGUGGGCAUGAAAUCCUAUACCUUGAUCAGAGAUACAGUGAACAACCAAAGCAGUGCUUGGGUACUGAAUUUCACCAGGUGCAAAAAUAGAGUUCUCAUAGUUCAGGUAGGAUGAACAUUUGAAAAAUCAGCUAAAAACAGGCAUAAACCACCUAAAUAGAAAAACAAAUUUAAAAGCUUCAGGUGAAAUAAUUUCAUCUUAAAAUUAGAGUAGGGAAACUAUUAUUUGCCAUUCCUCUACUACUGCUUUGAAAAGGCAGCCGUUAGUUUUUAUAGCCACAGCUUCUGCUUCAACACAAGGACUUGUCAAUUGUAACAGAGUGUGUGUUAACAGAAUUGAGCGAUUUCACACAUUUCACCCCAAGCAUUUAUUAUGACGCAUCCUGCAAGUCUUGGAUAGCUGAGCAGGUCUAGGCCUGAAAGCAGACAUUUAUCGACAAUCACAUCCUCAGCUGCGCCUCACAGCCUCAUGUACUGGUCAGUGCAGACAGACAACACAGCAUCCUGGACAACUGCUUGCCCACAGGCUGUACUGUCAUGUAACAAUAGGCCAACUAAGAGUGUAUAGAUAGCGUUUCCAAGAAAUACUGAUCCAAACAACAAAACCUGCAACAGUAAGGUUCUUCACCUAAAAUGUAAAACAACUGGAUAACUCUGCACUGAAGCCAACAGUCACAAAUGAAGAGGCUGCUCUGGGAGUUAUGGUUUUAGACAGUUUUGUUAAAAAUGUGUCUUGGAGAAGAGUGUUUUGGACUGAAACCUGGAUGUCCAAAUGCCUACCCAGGUUUGGGAAGUUCUCAGUCAUCAUUUAUUUAAACAAGCUUCCUGCCCUUCCUCCCCCUCUUCUCCUGGGGCUCCAUUGAUGUGCAGACUGUUUCUUAAUGGUGUCUCAGAAGUCCUGUAAGCUUUUCAUUUCUCUUCAUUCUUCCCCCACCCCCUUCUCUGGAUAAUUUCAAAUGCUCUGUUUUCAAGCUCACUGAUUCUUUCUUCUGCUUGAUCUAGUCUGUUGUUGAAGCUCUGUAUUAAAUUCUUCAGUUCAGUCAUUGUGCUCUUCAGCUCCAAAAUUUGUUUGGUUCGUCUUUAUGUUUUCUACUGAACUU